Molecule: unclassified non-coding RNA, 816 nt
Filed under: Hevea brasiliensis (rubber tree)
Lineage: Eukaryota; Viridiplantae; Streptophyta; Magnoliopsida; Malpighiales; Euphorbiaceae
Source: RNAcentral
AGAGAGGUUUCUCAACAAUUGUAGAUGAAGUGGCUCCUUUUUCAAACAUGAAUGAAGACUAAGAGUGAAAUUGGAACUUUUAUUUUUUUUGAACCAAAGUUUAGUGGGUAUUUUCGGGAAGAAGAGAAACAAAGGGAGAAGAGAAGAAAGAAAAGAGCUGGGACUUACAAUCUAGGCUCUGAUACUAGUUAUGAAAAUAUCAAUGACUUAAAUAUUUAGACCAAGGCUGUUGUUUGGAGAAACCCAGAAGAGAAGAAGAGAACCAGAAGAAGGUGUAGGCUGGGUUGAGUCGCCUGCCUCUGGUGAGUCCUCCAUUGCAAGAUCCAGUGAGGGAGGACACCGGAAAAUGCGCCACGCGUCGGCGCUAGAAUGGGUGUGGCUGCACAUGGUGAUCAAUGGCUGAGAUUUUGGUGUUGGUCUUCUGGGUUUUGACUCGCUGGUAAGAGGGAAAAUGUUUCGGACAGGUGGCGUAGUCCACCUUCUAAUGGCAAAUGGUUAACAAAAUAAAACAGUGCUGUUUUUCUUCAGGGACAAAAGAGCAUAGGAAGAAAAGAAGAAAUCAGGCCUUUUUAGGCAUUGAUGCCAGGUGAAAAUAGUGGAAGGAAGUAAGAGGGAGAGAUUUGCGAGGAAAAUUUUGUGUAUUUAAUUCAAGCUAUUCACAGCAAUAUAACUACAUAUUACAUAAGAGUCCCAACUCUCAAGCUUUACAGGAGUUCCAACCUAACUCAAAUACCAAUCCUACUAAAUUACAACAAUCUACUAAGAAGAUAAGAGGAUAGUUGCAACAAAGGUUGAGCCACAAGGAGUUAGAACCAA